Molecule: long non-coding RNA, 293 nt
Organism: Astyanax mexicanus (Mexican tetra)
Lineage: Eukaryota; Metazoa; Chordata; Actinopteri; Characiformes; Acestrorhamphidae
Exons: 3
Source: RefSeq, a predicted model, not a curated record
CAUGGUUUAGGGGAAGAUUACAAAAAGCUUUCUCAGAGUUUGAUAACUUAGAGCUGGAGGGGGUGAUUUUAUUGAAAGCAGGAAGAGGAUCUUCUUGCUUCAUCCAUCCUCUUGGCAAAGCCAUUCUUGUGUAAAUAGCUAAGGUAGGCAGAGGCCGGUCUGCGGCGGCGGAGCAGCUGUAAUUGUUUUGGGGAAGCUGUCUGGGUCUCAGCUGGUUGUGCUCAGCAUGAGGCUCAGUGGGAGAACGCAGCACAAGCGCAGGACGCAUAUAUUCCCAAGCUUGCAGGAGCAAA